This 1072-nucleotide ribosomal RNA is filed under the name Clonorchis sinensis. Its description in RNAcentral is "SSU rRNA". It matches the Rfam family "Eukaryotic small subunit ribosomal RNA", at positions 199 to 1160 of the family's 1831-position model. Lineage: Eukaryota; Metazoa; Platyhelminthes; Trematoda; Opisthorchiida; Opisthorchiidae. The record is from RNAcentral.
GGGUGGAUUUAUUAGAACAGAACCAACCGGCGGUGACUUCGGUUGCCUGUCGUUGCAUUCUGUGAUGACUCUGGAUAACUUUACUGAUCGCAGUCGGCCUUGUGUCGGCGACGGUCUUUCAAAUGUCUGCCCUAUCAAUUUUCGAUGGUAGGUGACCUGCCUACCAUGGUGAUAACGGGUAACGGGGAAUCAGGGUUCGAUUCCGGAGAGGGAGCCUGAGAAACGGCUACCACUUCCAAGGAAGGCAGCAGGCGCGCAAAUUACCCAAUCCCGGCACGGAGGGUAGUGACGAAAAAUACGGAUACGGGACUCAUUAGAGGCUCCGUAAUUCGAAUGAGUACAAUUUAAAUCCUUUAACGAGGAUCAACUGGAGGGAAGUCUGGUGCCAGCAGCCGCGGUAACUCCAGCUCCAGAAGCGUAUAUUAAAGUUGUUGCAGUUAAAAAGCUCGUAGUUGGAUCUGGGUCGCAUGGCUACAUGCCGUUGCUCGUAUUCCUGGCCUGGUUCACACCGGGACGGGUUUGUGAGUCGGUGUCGUGGUUGUGCAGCCUUCUGCCGUGUCUGUUUCGACAGGUGUUAGCAUGAUUGGUGGGUUCGUCCCUGCCUGAUCUGUUGACAUGCUUCCAAGGUGCCUUAACCGGGUCGUCGGGGGCGGACGGCACGUUUACUUUGAACAAAUUUGAGUGCUCAAAGCAGGCCCGUGUGCCUGAAAAUUCUUGCAUGGAAUAAUGGAAUAGGACUUCGGUUCUAUUUUGUUGGUUUUCGGAUCCGAAGUAAUGGUUAAAAGGGACAGACGGGGGCAUUUGUAUGGCGGUGUUAGAGGUGAAAUUCUUGGAUCACCGCCAGACAAACUACAGCGAAAGCAUUUGCCAAGGAUGUUUUCAUUGAUCUGGAGCGAAAGUCAGAGGUUCGAAGACGAUCAGAUACCGUCCUAGUUCUGACCAUAAACGAUGCCAACUGACGAUCCGUGGUGGCGCGAUUAUUGGCCCCGCGGGCAGCCCCCGGGAAACCUUUAAGUCUUUGGGCUCCGGGGGAAGUAUGGUUGCAAAGCUGAAACUUAAAGGAAUUGACGGA